This 335-nucleotide long non-coding RNA is filed under the name Populus trichocarpa (black cottonwood). RNAcentral describes it as "long non-coding RNA (PTRI_LNC003981)". Lineage: Eukaryota; Viridiplantae; Streptophyta; Magnoliopsida; Malpighiales; Salicaceae. The record is from RNAcentral.
CUCCUCGCUGCCAUUGCUGGUACUGCUCUUUACAUCCUUUACCGACCUCACCGCCCUACCUUCACCAUCACCUCCCUACGCAUCCACCGUCUUAAUCUCACCACCUCUGCUGACUCCUCCAUUUCCCACCUCUCCACUCUUCUUAACCUCACUAUCAUCUCCGAGAACCCCAAUUCACAUAUCUCACUAGACUAUGAACCCUUCACGGUCUCUGCAUUAUCUGAUGGCAAUGGUGUGUUUCUUGGUAAUGGUUCUUUGCCUGCUUUCAGUUUGAGUAAAAAGAAUCAGACAAGUUUUAGAAAUGUUGUGGUUUCUGGGUCGAACGAUCUUGACGU